UACGUAGGGUGCGAGCGUUGUCCGGAAUUAUUGGGCGUAAAGGGUAGGUAGGUGGUCUCAUUUGUCUGGGGUGAAAGCCUUGAGCUUAACUCAAGAAGUGCCCCAGAAACGGUGAGACUGGAGUCCUGGAGAGGGUCGUGGAAUUCCCGGUGUAGCGGUGAAAUGCGUAGAGAUCGGGAGGAACACCAGAGGCGAAAGCGGCGACCUGGACAGGCACUGACACUGAGGAGCGAAAGCCAGGGGAGCAAACGGG
Molecule: ribosomal RNA, 253 nt
Filed under: uncultured bacterium
Lineage: Bacteria
Description: partial 16S ribosomal RNA
Rfam family: Bacterial small subunit ribosomal RNA
Source: RNAcentral